This 23-nucleotide non-coding RNA is filed under the name Arabidopsis thaliana (thale cress). The record is from RNAcentral. Lineage: Eukaryota; Viridiplantae; Streptophyta; Magnoliopsida; Brassicales; Brassicaceae.
UAGCUCUUAGGUUCCUUUUAGGC